This is a long non-coding RNA of Phyllostomus discolor (pale spear-nosed bat), 1616 nucleotides long. RefSeq lists it as uncharacterized. NCBI's taxonomy places the organism in Eukaryota, Metazoa, Chordata, Mammalia, Chiroptera, Phyllostomidae. The record is from RefSeq and is a predicted model, not a curated record. The transcript is spliced from 2 exons.
GGCGCUCCAGGCAGCUCUCCUUAAGUUCUCUACCGUUAUGCGUCCAGGUCCAUCUUGUGGUGAAAGUCAAGGGCCGGGGGGGCCGUAGUGACGACACCCGGGUACCCCAGAAACCGGGAAAUGGAAAGCCGAGAAUAACCACUUUGACAAAAACUUGAAAUCAGUUGCUUGAAAUCCAGCACCUCUCGGCCCAGGACCCUCCCUGGGCACAGACAUCCUAUGCGAAGUCCUUUGGGUGGAGGUUCCUCUUCGGAAAGUUUCCUGGGUGUUUUGUCCUGUGAGAAUGGCCCUUCUUGGGUUUGUCACCUGAAAAGACUUGUGAACUUACUCCUUUUUCAACAGAGGUAAAAUAUGUUUAAUGUUCUAGUAGUGCAUACAGUUGUGUACAAUAGAAUAAUUCUUUCACUCUUUCUUCCACUGUGCUUGUGUAUUAAGUUCCCGAGGUUUGUUUUUCACUUUGGGAAAUUUCAAAUAAAAUUCCAGAUAUAGAUUUGCAGAGCAUGUGUGUUCAACUACGAUUAUUUACAAACCAAUUACUUUUCCUCUAAAUAGAAACAACUGACAUCUUUUUCUGAAGAAAAAAAAGAUAUUAGGGGUUUUCUAUUGAACUAGUGAAAGACACCUUUUCUUCCUUUUCAUAUAAAUGCUGGGUUUAUGUGAUUUUGGUGGAUUGUUCAAACACUGGAUUUUUGACAUUUAAAAUAUCCGUGGUGGCCCAAGCAAAUCUGAGGUGGGCCAAGCAAGUCCACUGAGCCCUGUGGUCAGUGACUCAGGCUAAGGCUCCCCUGAGCCUGAAGGGGCAAGUGCCUGAAGGCCCAGUUAUUCUUCCUGGGAAGCCUCCCCCUGCAGGUGUCCUAGCUGCUCACAACCCCCAUGGAAGGAGCUUGCACACUGAGAAGCCGCAGUGCUAGGGAGCUGGGGGCACAUGUGCACAUGGGGGAAGGGGAUGAUGCUCUUUCUGAGCUUUUAGUUGCAGUUCCCUUUGCCCUGUUUGUAGCCAUAGGAUGGAGUUUUACAUACACAAUAUAGGUGCACUUGGAGUGCAGUUGGUGCACAUUGAGAGUCUAUAUUUCCAUUCACUCCCUCCCUGUCCCUUUUAACAUUGUUGUCUUUCAUUUCAUUUAUCUGUAAGCUCUAAUUACUGAAUACAUUGUUACUGUUAUAACUUUGAAGAUAGUGUUACCUGUCAGAUUAAAUAAAAAAAAAACAAAAACAAUUCAUUUCACAUUCAUUCUUUCUCCAACACUCGACCUUUAUCGUUAUCUUUUUCCUGACAUGUUUAACAUUUCUUACAAAGCAGGUAUACUGGUGACAAAUUCCCUAAUUUUUGUGUCAGAAAUUCUCAUUUCUUCUGCAUGUUUGAAAGAUAAUUUUCUCUACAUGGAAUUCUGUUUGGGUAGUAUUUCUUUCACUCUUUAAAUAUUUCACAGACUGUCUUCCUGUUUGCAUAGUUUCUGAAAAGAAGUCUGAUUUCAUUCUUAUCCUUGCUUCCCUAUAUAUAACUAAGGUCCUCCUAGGCCCCCCCCUACUUUUUUUCAAUAUGUUCUUUGUCUUUGAUUUUUCUCAAGUUUGAAUAUGAUAUUUCUAGGUGUGCAUUUUUUUGUUUUUGUCUUGUU